RNAcentral lists this transfer RNA (74 nucleotides) under Phaeoacremonium minimum UCRPA7. Its description in RNAcentral is "tRNA-Ile (AAT) (tRNA-Ile-AAT-1-1)". It matches the Rfam family "tRNA". Rfam says of the family: Transfer RNA (tRNA) molecules are approximately 80 nucleotides in length. Their secondary structure includes four short double-helical elements and three loops (D, anti-codon, and T loops). The record is from RNAcentral. Lineage: Eukaryota; Fungi; Ascomycota; Sordariomycetes; Togniniales; Togniniaceae.
GGUUCCGUGGCUCAGCUGGUUAGCGCGUCGUACUAAUAAUGCGAAGGUCGAGGGUUCAAUCCCCUCCGGGACCA